GAUGAGGAACGCAGCGAAAUGCGAUAAGUAAUGUGAAUUGCAGAAUUCAGUGAAUCAUCGAAUCUUUGAACGCACAUUGCGCCCGCCAGUAUUCUGGCGGGCAUGCCUGUCCGAGCGUCAUUUCAACCAUCAAGCCCCGGGCUUGUGUUGGGGACCUGCGUCCGACGCAGGCCCUGAAAACCAGUGGCGGGCUCGCUGUCCACACCGAGCGUAGUAACUAACCUCGCUAUGGAGUGGCGCGGGCGCCUGCCGUAAAACCCCCAAUUUCACAAGGUUGACCUCGGAUCAGGUAGGAAUACCCGCUGAACUUAAGCAUAUCAAUAAGCGGAGGA
This 332-nucleotide unclassified non-coding RNA is filed under the name soil metagenome. RNAcentral's name for it is "partial contains 5.8S ribosomal RNA, internal transcribed spacer 2, and large subunit ribosomal RNA". The stretch from base 1 to 120 matches the Rfam family "5.8S ribosomal RNA", at positions 35 to 154 of the family's 154-position model. The record is from RNAcentral.